This 1298-nucleotide long non-coding RNA is filed under the name Homo sapiens (human). Its description in RNAcentral is "HSALNT0028259". The record is from RNAcentral. Lineage: Eukaryota; Metazoa; Chordata; Mammalia; Primates; Hominidae.
GAGAUUUAGGCGUCCCUCUGUAUUCAUUUAGAUGAUGGAUAGUAAUGGCUCAAUAGUUCCUCUGGAACCAUUACGGUCAAUCAGGUCAAAAUCCAGCUUGGGGGUGGGAAGGAUUUUUAAGCACGGGAGGUAGGUAACAGGACUCCUGCGCACAUUUGUUCAGAUAACACCUCUGAUAACGUAAUGCAAUCCAGGGUCCUUAAGAGAACAGAUGCCAGGUGAACGCAAGAGCGGGUGUUUUUUGUUGUGACAGCGACAGACAAGUUACAGUAUCAAAACUGAAAGGGAAAGUGAACUGUUUUUCCAGGCAGUUCCCGUUUGGUGUAAAUAAGUGCAUUAGAAACAAGGCAAUGUCUAAUCAGCCGGGGAUGUUGGAGAACAGUAGUUUGAACGGAAUUGUGAAUAGUUAGGGUGGAAUCCUGCAGAUAGAGCCACCUACUGCACCCGCGGCGCUGGGUCCUUCCGGGCUGCACCGGCGGCGGGUGGCGCUGGAGGAAGGAGAGUUCGCGGUAAUUAAACAUUUCCAGACACCGGAGGGUUAUUAUCUGCAGAGCGAUUUCCGGCGAUGGGACUCGGAGAGAGUCCGGCUGCGAGGUUUCGAGAUUCUGGGACGCAAUCCUAAAGAAAACGUGCCCCCUGCUGGCGAGCAAGCCACAUCUCGGGACCCCUUCUUGGAAAACUCGCAAACCCACAGUAUCCUUAUUUCACUUUGCCCAAGAGUAUUUUAGUCCUUCAGUUUUUCUUUUCUCAGUUAGAAGUUUGCUGCUACUCAUUUAAAAGUACGCACACGCUUACCCUUCCAAAGAGCAAACGGAGGAGGAAUUUCUUCUCGCCACGGGGUUUCUGUUUCCCUGCCCCAAACCAGACGUCCUUGCUCUCAGAUGGAUGAGGGCUUUUGUUUGUUUGUUUGUUUGUUUUUAAAUAAUCCGAAAUUCCUAGCAACUAUCUGCCGCCGUUCGCUUCUGGUCCUGGGAAGACGAUGAGCAAAGAUCUACUGGGACCCCAUCCUGCAUUUGCAAGCUCGGUCCGCGUGCCCCUCCCGGCACACCCGGAGGUGAGAAGUGCCCUCCGGUGCCUCCGUCCGCAGCCCCUCGUAGGUCUGCACGUCCUGCUUCGGAUCCCAAAUCCUGGCUUUCUGAAGAAGCGCGGGAAGAAGAGAGAGAGUCUGUUUCCGUGAAUCGAUUUCCCUGAAACACACUAGACUGUGAUUUUUAUCACUUAUUGAGCUGAAGGAUCUUUUAGGAGAAUUUCCUCCUCAAAAUCAGAACCGUUCUCAAGCCUGGUGCUGCAAGUACAAU